CAAUAAUUUGCCUGUAGGGUGAGAAUGGAACGUUCCCAAAUUGACAGCAAUCAAACAUUUUCUUUGGUGACAUCUGAAUCACUCUCGGAUCAUGGAUUCUAUAGUAAGAUAACACUGGCGUAAUGAAUGAGGAUGUUGAUGUGCUGGAAGAUGAAUCCAUGAUGUGCAACAAGAUCUAUGAUUUUUUAUACCCCAGGGAAGAACCAAGUCAAAGUCUUUAUGAGUGUGAGAAGUACAAGGAAGAUGAAUCUAGACAUUGAAAAUCUUGAGGAUGAUCAAAAUGAAGUGAAGAGAGUUUCUUAGUCCCAGCUCUCAGGAAAUGAGUUUGCAGACAAGGAAUUUCAAGCUUUUAUGAAAAAAAAAUCAAAGAGGACUUUUCAAAGCUCGCCGCAUCAAAUGUAAAAACAAUUCAUGAAAGGAAUUCCACUCUUUCGUCCUUCAGUUCAUGUCCCUGAUCUGAGUCUUGGGAGACCAUUGAAUGUUACAGAAAUCCGUUCAUUCGCCAAAAAAAUUUAUGCAAAGGAGCUCUACUGAGAUGCAUGGAGCUAAUUCUUCAGGGCUGAGAAAGAAGCGAAGUUAAAAAGAGAAAGAGCUAGCCAAGACAAUUGUGAAAAAUAAGCAAAAUGCUGAGAAGUUGAUAGAGAUUCAAAAAGAGAAGCUACUUUCUGUAAGCAGAAUAUUUCUUUUUCUCAUUUUGUAGGUUUAAUAUCCAAUUAUUUUUUUGUCCAUGCCUCGGUUCUCUGUGGCUGGAGGAUGUUCUAACUUUGGUUUCUAAGCUUAUGAUCAUAUAGCUUGUUCAAAACUACCCUUCAUUUCCAAAAUCAUUAAUCCAGGGACAUGUCGUUUCAUGCAUUUUUCAGGCUUGGUUCUGUGUAUGUGGAGCAGCAAUACUUUUGUUGACGGACAGUGGCGGAGCCAAAAAAUAUAUUUAGGGGGGGCCUAAAUUAAUUUUUUGUUAAUUUUCUUUCAAUUUUUUACAUCCAGGCUUGGGACCGAUAUAAUCAGUUUUAAAAAAGAUAAAACUUUGAUAGUGAAUAAGUUUAUUUUUUUCCUUCACAAAAUGACUUCCAAACAUC
Molecule: long non-coding RNA, 1076 nt
Organism: Dendrobium catenatum
Lineage: Eukaryota; Viridiplantae; Streptophyta; Magnoliopsida; Asparagales; Orchidaceae
Exons: 6
Source: RefSeq, a predicted model, not a curated record